This 367-nucleotide unclassified non-coding RNA is filed under the name soil metagenome. Its description in RNAcentral is "partial contains 5.8S ribosomal RNA, internal transcribed spacer 2, and large subunit ribosomal RNA". The stretch from base 1 to 121 matches the Rfam family "5.8S ribosomal RNA", at positions 35 to 154 of the family's 154-position model. The record is from RNAcentral.
GAUGAAGAACGCAGCGAACGUGCGAAACGUAAUGUGAAUUGCAGAAUUCAGUGAAUCAUCGAAUCUUUGAACGCAUCUUGCGCUCCUUGGUAUUCCGAGGAGCAUGCCUGUUUGAGUGUCGUGAAAUACUCUCAAUUUCAAUCUUUUUGUUUGAAAUUGGAUUUGGAUGUUGUUGUGGAUCUUGCUACGACUCAUCCUAAAUGCAUUAGCGAUCUGCCUUGAUCACACACAAUGUGAUAAGAUGAGCAUUGUUAUAAUCAAGUCAUGACUGCUUCUAACCGUCCCUUUGGGACAAACGUCUUAUGUCGUUUGAACUCAAAUCAGGUAGGACUACCCGCUGAACUUAAGCAUAUCAAUAAGCGGAGGA